UGGAUCUUAUUAAAAUACAGAUCCUGCUUCAGUAGGUCUGGGAUUCUGCAUUUCUAACAAGCACCCUGAUGGUGC
This 75-nucleotide microRNA precursor is filed under the name Choloepus hoffmanni (Hoffmann's two-fingered sloth). Its description in RNAcentral is "miRNA (ENSCHOG00000015833.1)". The record is from RNAcentral. Lineage: Eukaryota; Metazoa; Chordata; Mammalia; Pilosa; Megalonychidae.